Molecule: long non-coding RNA, 5662 nt
Organism: Anthonomus grandis grandis
Lineage: Eukaryota; Metazoa; Arthropoda; Insecta; Coleoptera; Curculionidae
Exons: 3
Source: RefSeq, a predicted model, not a curated record
UUAAUGGGACACCCUGUAUACUCAGGGCAAAAAAACGUCUUUUUGAAUCAAGUUAAAGUUAAAUUACAUUCUAAAUUAUGGUUUUGACGUUUCAACUUAUUAUUAGUUUACAAACAAAUUUUGUGUGCAAAACCUACUUUAUACGCUACCUAAUAUAAGUUUAUUCAAAUAGUAGGGUCGUUUUGAGACACUUGAGCAAUAUUUAAAAAAUUGUAUUUAAUAGUUUCUUUUAAAAGAAUACAUAAAAUUUAAAUAUCGUUACGGUGCAUGAUGUGAUCAAUGGUUUUCGAUUAUCAUUUCAAAACUGCUAAAAAAACAAUUAAGAUUUACUAUGGUAAAGUCAACUCUAUUUAUCAGCUAUACAGGGUGUUUCGGGAGGAAACGGAAAUAUUUUGGGAACAUGUUUAAAGGUCAAAAUAAGAUAAAUCAGCCCAUACGUUUUAAUCCGAUUCUGAACCGUUUCUGAAGUAAUCGGUUCUGAAGAUUUUUGUAAGAUUUUUUGUUUUAAAAGCAACACAAACAAAUACUAGUAAAAACCAAAAUUCCACUAAUUUAAAAUGUUUUCGAAAACACCCUCACCAAGUUCAAGGCAAGCUGCAGUACGUUUAUUAAGUGCUCGUGUUGUACGUUUAAUUGAUUGGAGAUUGUUUUUAAUAAUAUUUGAAGCAUUUCAAAUUUCCUUGUGGAGUCCUUUUACGGUUUCUACUGGUGUUUCGUACACUAGAGCUUUCAUCCACCCUCGAGGCAAUAAUUCAGUGGAUUUAAGUCUGGUGACCUCGGUGGCCAAACUUGAGGUCCUUCUCUGCCAAUCCAACGAUCAGGAAAACGAAUAUCUAAGAAAUUACGAACUCUGCGACUAAAAUGAGGCGAGACUCUAUCGUGUUGGAAAUACAUUCGGUGUCGAACAAUUAGCGCAACAUCAUCCGACAUGUGCAUUAAAUGGUCUUCCAAAAAGCGUAAAUAUCCUUCUCCAGUAUUAGACGCUCAUCUAAUACAAAGGGACCAAACAACUGGUCGUUCAGCAUUUCACACCAGACAUUAUAUAACACUGAAUCAAUGUUGAAGGUUUCGUUCAAACGUGGCAUGAGGAUUUUCAUCUGACCACCUAUGUUUAUUGUGUCGGUUAUUAACUCCAUUGCGGGUAAAAUGAGCUCCAGCGCUAAAUAAAAUGUAUUAAUGUAGGCCUCAAUUUUGUUGGAUCCAUUCGCAAAAUUGAACCCUUAAGCCAUAAUCACCCUCUUAAAGAUGUUGAACCGGUUGAAUAUGGAAAGGCCAAAGAGUCUUCCAAGUCAAGUCAAAGAGACUUCGAGGAUCAAAACAAAUGACGAAGAUCAAGUCAAGGUCAACACAAGCUCACGUUAAACGUCAACUAGAGGUCGCGUAGUAGUUCAAGCCAGGUCGAGUCGCGGUGACGUCGAGAGUCAAAUCAAGGAGACUUCCAGGGUCAAAACAAAUGUCGAAGGUCCAGUCAAAUAGGGGCUUCAUUUGAUUCUUGUGAACUGCUUGAUUCAUCCUCCAUAUGAAUAACAUCUAUAUUCACUUCCUCAAUUUGUUCAUUUUUAUCACAUUCUGACGAAGAUCCGCUUUCGGAACAUGCAUAGUCUGCAUCUUUACUAUCAUCGCUAUCGUGGAAAGGAUCCUGUUCACAUCCGAUAAAUUAUCAACAAGGUGCUGCAACUCACUUGCUGAUAAUCGCUGAUUUUUUCUAAAAUCGAAUAAAUAAUUAUUACACUACAACAUACUGCAGAUAUAUAUAUGUCCCACGCUGUAAUACUGCUGGGAUAAAUAAGUCUCGCGUUAUAACACGGCUGGAAUAUAUAUCCCACUGACCAUUUUUUGUGCUUAACAUUGUAUAAAAAGAUUAAAAAUGGAUAAGAUCAAUUACUUUUUACUCAUACUACUAGCAGCACUUUGAAUACAGCCAAUGUACAAGGUUAUUUCCGGUUUAUGAAUCAAAGACACGUGCACAACUCGAGAGCCACCGACCUUCUACAAAUGCCGAGAACGUACGUCAUAGCUCGGGAAUCCCGUUCGAGAUAUCCCCAAUACUGAAUUAUCCCAUCCCAAUGCAUUACAAAGCGCUGUUUUAAUUUUCGUGUUCUUGAAAAAAUUCUUGGGACAUUUAUGAGCCAGCAGUGUCGAAAAGGUUAAAAUUAUGGCAUCAUAAUAUAUUUCAUAAUGUAUUUAUUGUACCUGACGCAAAAUACGAUUUUUACAAAACCGUUUCAAGCUUUUUUACCAACAAACAGGAUAUUUCUUGUUUAGGCACUGUGGCGUUAAUUUUACAGUGUUACUAUUUUCCCAAGAGUUUGCAGACGGUAGCUCAGAAUUAUUGGAGGCUUGGGAUUGUUCGAAGAUUCACUUAUGACUGGCUAUUGAAGAAUGUAAACUUGAUUAUAACUAUUAAUUAAGAUAAGGAUGUCUAACAUGGGGAUCUCAGCAGCUUUAGGACAUACGAGGCUGAUUAAAUAUGAGAAAAGUUGCGCAUUUUAGAGCCUAACAAUACGCCGUUUAGAAAGUUUUAAAAUUUUGAGUAGUUCCGGAGAUAUUCGAGAAAAACCGAAAUUUGCCGAUUUCGUUUUUAUUUUUUUCUGGCGUUAUUUAGAGGGAUAUGGAAAAACAACUUCUCUUCUCUCGACACUUUCUCGUUUCGUUUCGAAAAAACCAUCAUCAACUUAAUUUUUUUAUAUGGCGCGUAAAAAAGUACACCCUGUAUAAAAUAGCAUAUUUUAUUAUGAUUAUAACAAUGUAUGACACAAUAUGUUCCCACAAUAUUUAAAUGUUAAAAAUUGGAUUUUUAUUAAAUUCCGAUGGUUUUGAUGUAGUAGGAGGUGAAAUGAAGACGCUGAGUAUGGUGUAGUAGGCUGCUAUUACUAAUAUUUUGAAAUAGUAAAUAAAAAUCACGUUAUUGAUAACUUAAAAAUUUUAUUCACAUAUCGUCACAUAGCUAGGUCACAUGAUUAUUUUAAAGAAUUAAACACAUUAUUAAAUUAAAAAACUACCUACUAGAAAUCCAAAAAUACUAAUUUAAAUCAUAGUAAUAAAUGUUCAAACAAAUUACCAUUAUUCUCCAAACACAGAUAACAUCUUCUAACAGUCGAGUUUAAAACACUUCUUAACAUUAGGUGUAAUGCUCUCAAAUGCUUCAAGAACUAUUCUCGUCAGCUGAUCCUCAGAUUUAAAAACACGACUGUAAACAUAAUUUUUGCAAUAGCCCCAGAGAAAAAAUUCGAGCGGAGUUAUGUCUGGGGAACGAGUAGGUCACGGAACUGUUCCAAUCCAUUUUUCCGGAAAUCUGUUCGAUAGAUACUCUCGCACGAUUAGGACAUUGUGUCAAUAACACCUCUACAAAAGGACAAAGCGCUCCAAAAAAUUUUGCUCGUGACGUCACGCAUUUGGGCCAUACACUUCGGGUUGAUUUUCGGGUGAAUUCAGCUGUUGACGCUGCCGUUGUUCGUCCACGGAAGGCUGCCUGCAACGCUGCCAGACUUUGAAGAUUGCCGUGAACGUUAGGAUGACCUAUUACUAUUUUAAAAUAAUCAAAGCUAUAUCUUUAACUGCCCUUACUUUACAAUUUAGUUAAAAAAAAGAGUGCAUCCUUAAUUCUCUUUUUAUAAUUUAAACUUCCAUUUUUUCAAAUUUUAUCAUUUAUCUAAUACCUUGCUACUUGCCAAUAGGAGUUCUUUCUAUAUAAAUCUGACAACGGCGCAUCUACUAGUUGUGCCACCUGAUGAAACGAGAGGUUAGGUUGUUUACUUAGAACAUUGAAAGGCUAGAAUUAGUAAACAACAACUUUGUUUGAGUCCAACAUGUGCACAGGGGCAAGAGGGGUGUUUUAUUUACAAACAUAUGUGCCGAUUCUCUGUUGUCAAGUCGACACAAAUUUCCAACGGAGGAAAUUUUUAGCUAUAUUUUAACAAACAUUAUAACGUUAAUUUAACUUAUUUCUGUUAUAUUUUAUAGGAAAAUUUAAAAUAAAAAGUAUAAAUACUACAAUUAACCUAUUUUAAGAAUAAAUAUAAUAUCCUUAAGCAAAAAAAAACAAAAUUAUUAACAUUCUUAUCCCUAAAACUGCUUCUAAAAAAUUUGAAGCGACAACACCGGAGCUUAAGCGCCUAAACCAUACGCGUUGUGUCAUCUGUCAAACGGCUUUUUGUUUAUAUUCGGGAUUCGUGUAUUUUCUUUAAUUUUUGGUUUAAAAAGGAAAAAAGGCCACGUUUUAGUGUUUUUUUAAAUUGCUAGGAUGGCAAAAACUUGUGUCGUUUGUGCCGCAUCAUGAUAAAAACGUGAUUCAAGCCGAUCUUUUCACAAGUAAGUACCGAUACUUUCAUAACAUCACAUCAUGGGGUAACCAUCAUCAUAAACGUAGAAUAGGGGAUCUUAUAGAUAUAAACCUAAUAAAAAUUUGAAUGUGAAAGUGUGCGUAAAAUACCAACAUAUUUAUAUUUUUAAAUCUAAAUAUUUUUUUGCACAUAUUCAUCUAUUAAUAGGCUAUAAAAGAUAUAAAACUAGAAUUUUGUCCCUGGUUUUAUUACAGGAUUUUAUGUUUUUUUUGUUGUUUUGGCAGAAAAAAUGCAUAAUACCUAUGUACCUAUCUAUAUAUAGUUUGAUAUCUAUGUAUAAAGUUAAUUUUGUCUUUCUUUAAAAUUCGUUCCAUAAUUUUUUUUUGUUUUACCUUAUUGCAACUUACAAUAAUAUAUAUAGUAAUUGGCACCACAUAUUAAUUUAUUACUGUAAUUUUUUUCUGCUUUUUGAUUAAAUAUCAAAUACUUAUUAUAGAUUGCCCAAUGAUUAUGCCCAAAGGGAACAAUGGGUUUCAUUAAUGGAAAUCAACACAUUUAAAAAGAACAUAUUUGUUUGUUCAGAUCACAUCCUUAGAAGUGAUAUAAGGGAGAUAAUAUUAUCAGUAGCCAGACUUUAUUAAAAAAAUCAGCUCUACCUCAAAGGAUUUCUGAUGCACUGGUUAAAAACACAGCAGCCAAUAAUUCAGUUAAUUUACCAAGUGAUUUACCCUUCAAAGCUACAGGGGUAGCUUUCCCGAAGAGUGCAAAAACUUCUUUAGCUUUCAAAAUGGUAUAUAGUACAAACAGUGAAGCUAAUAUACUUACUUAGACACGUAUGGAUAAUUAAAAUAGAUUAAUAUUCUUGAUACACCAAAUUUUGUAUAAUUACAGAUCUUACAUUACAUCAUCAACAAUAACUGCAUCUGAGAAUUAUAGUUCUACAGUAACCGUGGAGUCUAGGUCAACAAUUACUAUUUCUCAUCCAAGCCGUUUUUGUUUAACUGCUACACAUUCCCUGACUCUGUCAAGGAAAAGGGUAAAAUCAAAAUGAUAUCCUGAGGACCUAAGCACGGAUGAUUCCACCGUUUCAAGAGCUUAAUCACUUGUCACCAGAUUAUGGAAAAAAAAUAAAGAACAAAAAAUUAAAAUUCGAAGAUUGCAACAAGCAAAUUUGCGCCAAAGAAAUUGAAUUAGAUGUCUCAAGUCAUUAUUAAAAUACUUACAUGAAAUAAUAACAUGAUUUUAUGGAAAAGCCCAACAUACUACAUAUUUUAUUUGACUUGUAAAAGCACUUGUUUGUAUAUUACUACUAAUAAACUCUCUAAUCUAAUCUAUUGUACAUAGUCUUUAUUCUUAGCUUUGUUUUUUAGUAUAAAUUA